AACGCACAUUGCGCCCGCUAGUAUUCUGGCGGGCAUGCCUGUUCGAGCGUCAUUUCAACCCUCAGCUCCCCCCUUUCGGGGGCGGGAAAGCUGGUGUUGGGGAUCAGCCUUCUACGGCUGUCCCUCAAAUACAGUGGCGGUCACGCUGCAGCCUCCUAUGCGUAGUAACUUACACCUCGCACCUGGAACUCUGCGCGGCCACGCCGUAAAACCCCUACUUUUACAAGGUUGACCUCGAAUCAGGUAGGAAUACCCGCUGAACUUAA
RNAcentral lists this unclassified non-coding RNA (266 nucleotides) under uncultured fungus. Its description in RNAcentral is "partial contains 5.8S ribosomal RNA, internal transcribed spacer 2, and large subunit ribosomal RNA". The record is from RNAcentral. Lineage: Eukaryota; Fungi.